RNAcentral lists this transfer RNA (38 nucleotides) under Diadema setosum. Its description in RNAcentral is "partial tRNA-Lys". The record is from RNAcentral. Lineage: Eukaryota; Metazoa; Echinodermata; Echinoidea; Diadematoida; Diadematidae.
UAAUUUAAARGAAAGUAGUUAAACUCUACUAUUAAGGA